AACGAACGCUGGCGGCAUGCCUAACACAUGCAAGUCGAACGAGACCUUCGGGUCUAGUGGCGCACGGGUGCGUAACGCGGGGGAACCUGCCCUUAGGUUCGGAAUAACUCCCCGAAAGGGGUGCUAAUACCGGAUAAUGUCUUCGGACCAAAGAUUUAUCGCCUUUGGAUGGGCCCGCGUUGGAUUAGCUAGUUGGUAGGGUAAAAGCCUACCAAGGCGACGAUCCAUAGCUGGUCUGAGAGGAGGAUCAGCCACACUGGGACUGAGACACGGCCCAGACUCCUCCGGGGAGCAGCAGUGGGUAAUAUUGGACUAUGGGCGAGAGCCUGAUCCAGCACUGCCGCGUGAGUGAUGAAGUCCUUAGGGUUGUAAAGCUCUUUUACCCGGGAUGAUAAUGACAGUACCGGGCGAAUAAGCGCCGGCUAACUCCGUG
This 433-nucleotide ribosomal RNA is filed under the name uncultured bacterium. RNAcentral's name for it is "partial 16S ribosomal RNA". It matches the Rfam family "Bacterial small subunit ribosomal RNA", at positions 29 to 507 of the family's 1533-position model. The record is from RNAcentral.